GUGAAUCAUCGAAUCUUUGAACGCAUAUUGCACUCGCUGGUAUUCCGGAGAGUAUGCCUGUUUGAGGGUAAUUAAAAAGAAUCUUUAACUUAUUUUUUUUGGUUAAAGGAAAUGAGGUCUCCGUGUUUAUAGCGGUAGCUUGAAAUAAAUGGUCAAGUAUCAUUUCAGUCGAGACGUGUAAUAAUAUUAUUUCGCGAAAUCUUCAUUCUGUG
RNAcentral lists this unclassified non-coding RNA (212 nucleotides) under Ambisporaceae sp. Its description in RNAcentral is "partial contains 5.8S ribosomal RNA and internal transcribed spacer 2". The stretch from base 1 to 71 matches the Rfam family "5.8S ribosomal RNA", at positions 84 to 154 of the family's 154-position model. The record is from RNAcentral. Lineage: Eukaryota; Fungi; Glomeromycota; Glomeromycetes; Archaeosporales; Ambisporaceae.